CCUGCCCCUCCCUCCAACCAAGACCGUGUCAAGUGGAAACAUGUGUCUGAGACGCGGCACAGACAAUACCUCUGGCUUUAAGGACCAUCACACGGAGCCGAUUCCUUAAACAACCGUACAGCGUCACAGGGAAGGGACAGAGGCCAGGAAAAAACUACUACACUUGUCUAAUUAUUUCAGCGCAGCCCCAAUGCAACGUUACCUUGACCACUUUGACCCUUGGCGUAAAUACAGAUUUGCAGUUCCCUAACAUAGCUGUAGCCCACAGGCCCUGAGUUAUGAAAAAAGCCUUCAAUUUCGUCACAAUGCAGAGUUUGAAGCACUUCCUGACCUUUCCCCUAGUGGGCAGAAGUAUCUACUUUGCAGAAGAACUAAUGUUGUGACUGGAAGGCUGGAAGGAAAGGCUGGGCUCUGCAGUGCAGCAAGGAGGGAGACAUAGAGUGACUGAAGUCCAAGGUCCAGUGGUGAAAUGAAAAGACCGUCAGCAGAUAUUUGACCCAAGAAGGAGGCAUCCGGAUGGAAGUACUGUGAGUUCUUAUGAGGUCAGAUUUUCUAAGAACAAGGGGAGAUAUACUUCACAUCACUUCUCUACUUGGAACUUGCUUCUUAGCACCCUGUUCUCCUUCCCAUUCUGCCAUGGGCCUCUGCCCCUCCUCACUGAUCACCACUGGGAACUCCCAGUCAACCCCCUUUAAUGGGUUCCUCUCCCUUCUCAUAGGAUCAGACAAGAGGUUGAUGUGGGUCUGACCACACCUCAGUCAAGUGUGUGGACCUUCCAUUCUACAUUGUGUCAACACAAAGGAGUAGAGGUAUUUUGGUCUUGUCUGAAAACUAGGGUAAUUCAAGAAACAAACAACAUAUUUUCCUAUUACAAAACUCAAGUCUGUA
This is a long non-coding RNA of Herpailurus yagouaroundi (jaguarundi), 888 nucleotides long. RefSeq lists it as uncharacterized. Lineage: Eukaryota; Metazoa; Chordata; Mammalia; Carnivora; Felidae. The transcript is spliced from 5 exons. The record is from RefSeq and is a predicted model, not a curated record.